This 468-nucleotide ribosomal RNA is filed under the name uncultured bacterium. RNAcentral's name for it is "partial 16S ribosomal RNA". It matches the Rfam family "Bacterial small subunit ribosomal RNA", at positions 28 to 507 of the family's 1533-position model. The record is from RNAcentral.
GAUGAACGCUGGCGGCGUGCUUAACACAUGCAAGUCGAACGGAAAGGCCCAAGCUUGCUUGGGUCCUCGAGUGGCGAACGGGUGAGUAACACGUGGGUGAUCUGCCCUGCACUUCGGGAUAAGCCUUGGAAACUGGGUCUAAUACCGGAUAGGACGAUGGUUUGGAUGCCAUUGUGGAAAGUUUUUUCGGUGUGGGAUGAGCUCGCGGCCUAUCAGCUUGUUGGUGGGGUAAUGGCCUACCAAGGCGUCGCCGGGUAGCCGGCCUGAGAGGGUGUACGGCCACAUUGGGACUGAGAUACGGCCCAGACUCCGACGGGAGGCAGCAGUGGGGAAUAUUGCACAAUGGGCGCAGGGCUGAUGCAGCGACGCCGCGUGGGGGAUGACGGCCCUCGGGUUGUAAACUCCUUUCGCUAGGGACGAAGCGUUUUUGUGACGGUACCUGGAGAAGAAGCACCGGCUAACUACGUG